GACGAACGCUGGCGGCGUGCCUAAUACAUGCAAGUAGAACGCUGAAGGAGGAGCUUGCUCUUCUGGAUGAGUUGCGAACGGGUGAGUAACGCGUAGGUAACCUGCCUGGUAGCGGGGGAUAACUAUUGGAAACGAUAGCUAAUACCGCAUAAUAGUAGAUGUUGCAUGACAUUUGCUUAAAAGGUGCAAUUGCAUCACUACCAGAUGGACCUGCGUUGUAUUAGCUAGUUGGUGAGGUAACGGCUCACCAAGGCAACGAUACAUAGCCGACCUGAGGGGGUGAUCGGCCACACUGGGACUGAGACACGGCCCAGACUCCUACGGGAGGCAGCAGUAGGGAAUCUUCGGCAAUGGACGGAAGUCUGACCGAGCAACGCCGCGUGAGUGAAGAAGGUUUUCGGAUCGUAAAGCUCUGUUGUAAGAGAAGAACGAGUGUGAGAGUGGAAAGUUCACACUGUGACGGUAUCUACCA
This 472-nucleotide ribosomal RNA is filed under the name Streptococcus sp. oral taxon 064. RNAcentral's name for it is "bacterial SSU rRNA". It matches the Rfam family "Bacterial small subunit ribosomal RNA", at positions 28 to 485 of the family's 1533-position model. Lineage: Bacteria; Bacillati; Bacillota; Bacilli; Lactobacillales; Streptococcaceae. The record is from RNAcentral.